CAUUUAUUACACCAAGACCAAUGGGGCUCUCGGGCUCCUCAGUGGAGGCGACUCUGGGAACCUGCGCUGAUCGCAUGGGCUUAGCUCCGGCGAUGAAUCUUUCAAGUGAAUGCCUUAUCGACUUUUGAUGGUAGGUUAUGCGCCUACCAUGGGGGGAAGGGGUGACGGGGAAUCGCGGUUCGAUUCCGGAGAGGGAGCCUGACAAACGGCUACCACAUCCAAGGUGCGCAGAGCGGACUCAAAUUACUCACUCGCGGAACGGGGAGGUAGUGACGAAAAAUGACAUUACGGGAGUCAAAUGAAGCCCCCAAAUUGGCAUGAAAACGACCUAAAUCCUUUAACGGGGAUCUUUUGGGGGGUAAGCCUGGUGCCCCCCCCCCCUGACAUUCCAGCUCCAAUAGCGUAUAUUAAAGUUGUUGCGCGAAAAAAGCUCGGACUUGGAUCUCAGUUCAUGCUUCCCCCUCCGCUUGCCGGCGGCUACUGCUUGUCUCAACCCCUUACCUAUUUGUCUUGCGAUGCUCUUUACCGCGUGUCAUGAGCGAGCUGCUCUUUUACUUUGAACAAAGUAGAGUGCUC
This 576-nucleotide ribosomal RNA is filed under the name uncultured eukaryote. Its description in RNAcentral is "partial 18S ribosomal RNA". It matches the Rfam family "Eukaryotic small subunit ribosomal RNA", at positions 203 to 776 of the family's 1831-position model. The record is from RNAcentral.